RNAcentral lists this ribosomal RNA (522 nucleotides) under uncultured Paraglomeraceae. RNAcentral describes it as "SSU rRNA". It matches the Rfam family "Eukaryotic small subunit ribosomal RNA", at positions 569 to 1092 of the family's 1831-position model. The record is from RNAcentral. Lineage: Eukaryota; Fungi; Glomeromycota; Glomeromycetes; Paraglomerales.
AGCAGCCGCGGUAAUUCCAGCUCCAAUAGCGUAUAUUAAAGUUGUUGCAGUUAAAAAGCUCGUAGUUGAACUUCAGGCCUGUCCAGAUGGUCCGCCUUAAUUGGUGUGUACUGUCCUUGGGUGGGUCCUACCUUCUGGCGAAGCGGCAUGGCCUUAAUUGGUUGUGUUGGGGAACCAGGACUUUUACUGUGAAAAAAUUAGAGUGUUCAAAGCAGGCAAAUAUGCUCGAAUACAUUAGCAUGGAAUAAUGGAAUAGGACGAUGGUUCUAUUUUGUUGGUUCUAGGACCGUUGUAAUGAUUAAUAGGGAUAGUUGGGGGCAUUAGUAUUCAAUUGUCAGAGGUGAAAUUCUUGGAUUUAUUGAAGACUAACUACUGCGAAAGCAUUUGCCAAGGAUGUUUUCAUUAAUCAAGAACGAAAGUUAGGGGAUCGAAGACGAUCAGAUACCGUCGUAGUCUUAACCAUAAACUAUGCCGACUAGGAAUCGGGCGAUGUUGACAAAAUGACUCGCUCGGCACCUCAUG